UCUGGUGGCCAUGGCUGCGGUGACCCACCCGUUCCCAUACCGAACACGGAAGUGAAACCCGCAUGCGCCGACGAUACUCGAUGGGAAACCGUCCGGGAAAAUAGGUCGCCGCCAGGA
This 117-nucleotide ribosomal RNA is filed under the name Armatimonadota bacterium. The record is from RNAcentral. Lineage: Bacteria; Bacillati; Armatimonadota.